GACGAACGCUGGCGGCGUGCUUAACACAUGCAAGUCGAACGGUGAAGCGCCUUCCUUUUUGGUGGGUGUGGAUGAGUGGCGAACGGGUGAGUAACACGUGAGUAACCUGCCCCCUUCUUCUGGAUAACCGCAUGAAAGUGUGGCUAAUACGGGAUAUUCUGGGUCUGUCGCAUGAUGGGUCUGGGAAAGAUAUUGUUUCGGUGGGGGAUGGGCUCGCGGCCUAUCAGCUUGUUGGUGGGGUGAUGGCCUACCAAGGCGGUGACGGGUAGCCGGCCUGAGAGGGUGGACGGUCACACUGGUACUGAGACACGGCACAGACUCCUACGGGAGGCAGCAGUGGGGAAUAUUGCACAAGGGGCGCAAGCCUGAUGCAGCGACGCCGCGUGAGGGAUGGAGGCCUUCGGGUUGUGAACCUCUUUCGCCAGUGAAGCAGGCCUGCCUCGUUUGUGGGUGGGUUGACGGUAGCUGGAUAAGAAGCGCCGGCUAACUACGUG
Molecule: ribosomal RNA, 494 nt
Filed under: uncultured bacterium
Lineage: Bacteria
Description: partial 16S ribosomal RNA
Rfam family: Bacterial small subunit ribosomal RNA
Source: RNAcentral